AAAAAUGCAAGAGUUUUAUUUGGACAGCACAAUACAAAGCAGUAAAAGUUUUUGUUUUUUUUUUUCUCCUUAAGCAUUUCUUUCUUUUACUUAUUUUUCUUUUUUUUUUUUCCCUAACUGAACUGAUAAUUUGGAAAUAGCAAAUUUUGUGGAUCGUGAAUGGUAGUUUCUAAGGAAGGUCUUUUAGUUGUUUUACACUUCCCUGUCAGAUGUUUCUGUUUGAAGCUGUCUGACUUCUAUAACUUUUAAUCAUUUUCAUUGCUGUCCCAAUUGCCCAGUGUUGCUUCCUUUUGCUUAUAGUCCUACACCAGCAACGAAAAUAGCCUGUUUGUCCUGUUCCUUGCUUUGCUGCUAUGACAUUGCAAUUUCCGUGUUCCCAGUCCAAAGGUGUGCCUUUUUUCUGUCCAAGAGGGAGGAAGUUGGUGCUGAGCUGUGGCGCUUCAGUAAGAGGUGUCUUCUCUCUAGCUAUAGCUAGGCAUCAUAAUCCCAUGAGCUUGAGGAAGGAUGUGAUAGGUAGAAGUGUUCCCUUGCCACACGGUGGGACACGAGGAGAGAUAAUUCUGCGUUACUUUACACAGUUGCAUACAUUCAAUCUUAUUCACAUUUCUGCUACAAGUACACUUUUGAAAAUUACAUAGGUUUUGGGUUUAGGCCCAAUGGCUUCCUCAGCUGUAUUGUGUCCUUUCCUGGGGCAAACCAAUAAGUGAUGGGUGACAAUUCUCCCUCACCCCUCCCACCACACAGAGUUACUAAAUUCCUCUUUCCAUCUCCUGGACUGAAUCAGGGCCAGAAUACUCAUCACCUCAUAGGACAUAGGAUCCUUUGAUGAAUGUACAUGAUGAAUACGGCAUCCAGUCCAGCUCACCAUAUUAUCGGACAAAUAAUUUCAAAAAGAAAGUCAUGAGAUAGUUUUCUAGUUUUAGCUGCUUUUGAAUUUUAUCAGUGAAAAUCUGCUGAAUUUAAUAGCAUAGCAAUAAGUAGUUAUGUAACCAAAGAGAAAGGCCAGAUAUUGCAUUAAAUCUUUUGUCUGUCCUACCUGCUAAAUUUUGUGGAGCAGCCUCUUAAUCUCACACUGUGAUGCAAUGCAUGUUUACUUGUCAAGUCUUCACCACAUCAAGUCAUACAGAAACACAACAUAGAGAAUGGGAUUUUUAGUCUGGGAGGAGAGUUCAGGUUGGGUCCCUCAGCCUUUUUCUGAUGCUGUUAAAAUAUCGUCAUUAAUGAUCUGGAUAUAACAGAAUAAAGAAUAAACUUGUUAAACUUUUAGAUAAUGCUAAGAUGGAUGUUAUAAAAGCACUUUGGAAUAAUCAGAAAGGUCAUAAUUUAAGGGUUCUUGAUGACUUGAAGAAAUAAUCUAAAGCUGAGGAGACAAAAUUCACUGAACACAAGUGUACAGUUCAACAUUUAGGAAGGCAAAAUCAAAGGUGUAAGUACAAAAUGAAUAAUAACAGUUGUCAGAGAUAUGGCAGUGAAGGCUGUGAGAGUUGUAGCAAAUCACAAAUGAAACAUGAAUCCCUGCUGGGAUGUUAUAACAAAAAGCAAAAAAGUGUAUCUCAUUCUGUGACGUAUUAGCAAGAACGGUGUAUAAAGGAACCAAUUACUUCCUCUAUUAAGUGCUGGUAAAAAACUGGAACUUGGGCAAUACAUUUAAAGAAGGAUCUAUAAAAAACUAGAGACUACUGAAAUGAAAGAAAAAAGCACUUCUGAAGUAGUUGGUCUUAUUUAAGCUAGAGAAGAGAACAGAUGGGAACAUGGCAGCAGGCUGUGGCUACUAAAAUGUCAGCAUAACGAUAUUCUCCAUAGUUAUCAGCAGCAAGAGAAAGGCUACUUUGCAGCAAGGAAGAUUCAAGGUAACUACUCAAGGGAAAAAUGGGUUUAUCCCCACUUUGGAGUAUGGGAAGGUCCUUCUUGGGUGGUUUUUAGCAUUCUGUUUUGCUGAGAUGAUGUAGUUAAAAUCAGUUUACUUCCAGAUACCACAUUCAGUUCUUAAGUUCCCUCCCUGACAAAAAUGCUGUUGAUUCUGCAACAAAUCUGUGAAACCAGUCAGUCUUUAAGAGCAGUGGCUGUUUUAUUUAGUUACUGUGAAAAAUAUUUCAAAAGAGAUGAAUAUAGAUUGUCCUAGCUUGAGAGACAAUGCAAGUACAAAGAGAAAUGCAUGGAAGAUUAUUUAUUCUACUCACAAUUUACUGUUUGAUUUUACCAAAAUCUUCC
Strigops habroptila (Kakapo) is the source of this 2211-nucleotide long non-coding RNA. The record is from Ensembl. NCBI's taxonomy places the organism in Eukaryota, Metazoa, Chordata, Aves, Psittaciformes, Psittacidae.